RNAcentral lists this unclassified non-coding RNA (353 nucleotides) under soil metagenome. RNAcentral describes it as "partial contains 5.8S ribosomal RNA, internal transcribed spacer 2, and large subunit ribosomal RNA". The stretch from base 1 to 120 matches the Rfam family "5.8S ribosomal RNA", at positions 35 to 154 of the family's 154-position model. The record is from RNAcentral.
GAUGAGGAACGUAGCGAAAUGCGAUAAGUAAUGUGAAUUGCAGAAUUCAGUGAAUCAUCGAAUCUUUGAACGCACAUUGCGCCCGCCAGUAUUCUGGCGGGCAUGCCUGUUCGAGCGUCAUUACAACCCUCAGGCCCCCGGGCCUGGCGUUGGGGAUCGGCGGAAGCCCCCUGCGGGCACAACGCCGUCCCCCAAAUACAGUGGCGGUCCCGCCGCAGCUUCCAUUGCGUAGUAGCUAACACCUCGCAACUGGAGAGCGGCGCGGCCACGCCGUAAAACACCCAACUUCUGAAUGUUGACCUCGAAUCAGGUAGGAAUACCCGCUGAACUUAAGCAUAUCAAUAAGCGGAGGA